This 386-nucleotide ribosomal RNA is filed under the name uncultured bacterium. RNAcentral describes it as "bacterial SSU rRNA". It matches the Rfam family "Bacterial small subunit ribosomal RNA", at positions 28 to 416 of the family's 1533-position model. The record is from RNAcentral.
AUUGAACGCUGGCGGCAUGCCUUACACAUGCAAGUCGAACGGCGGCACGGGGGCAACCCUGGUGGCGAGUGGCGAACGGGUGAGUAAUACAUCGGAACGUGCCCAGUAGUGGGGGAUAGCCCGGCGAAAGCCGGAUUAAUACCGCAUGCGACCUACGGGUGAAAGCGGGGGAUCGCAAGACCUCGCGCUGUUGGAGCGGCCGAUGUCAGAUUAGGUUGUUGGUGGGGUAAAGGCCUACCAAGCCGACGAUCUGUAGCUGGUCUGAGAGGACGACCAGCCACACUGGGACUGAGACACGGCCCAGACUCCUACGGGAGGCAGCAGUGGGGAAUUUUGGACAAUGGGGGCAACCCUGAUCCAGCCAUGCCGCGUGCGGGAAGAAGGCC